Peromyscus californicus insignis is the source of this 4828-nucleotide long non-coding RNA. RefSeq lists it as uncharacterized. The transcript has 3 exons. The record is from RefSeq and is a predicted model, not a curated record. Lineage: Eukaryota; Metazoa; Chordata; Mammalia; Rodentia; Cricetidae.
GAAGAAAACCUCAAUUGAGAAAAUGCCUCCAUAAGAUCAGGUUGUAAGGCAUUUUCUUAGUUAAUGACUGAUGCAGGAGGGCCCAGCCCAUUGAAGGUGGUGCUAUACCUGGGCUGGUGGUUCUAGGUUCUAUAAGAAAGCAGGCUGAGCAAGCCACGAGGAGCAAGCCAGUAAGCAGCAUCCCUCCAUGUCCUCUGCAUCAGCUCCUGCCUCCAAGUUCCAACCCUUCUUGAGUUCCUGCCCUGACUUCCUUCAGUGAUGGACUACAAUGUGGAAGGGAAGUGGGCUGAUCCUUCUGUCAUUUGCUGAAGAGUUCCACUUUCUCCUUCUUUCCGAAACACCAUCAUUCCUGACAAAAACCCGAACGCACCCACCAUCUCAAGCACUGGUCCCUUGAGCUGACGAGCCGACUGUGGGUUUGAUCAGAUGCAUGAAGGGAGGGGCAGCGUGUGAGAGACUAGCCACCAUUUUUUGAUCUCUGAACUAAAAAUUUCGAGAAAGAAAUUAUUAUAUUGCAAAAAAAAUAUUACUUUUUGCUUAUACCAGAAGACAUUCUUCAUAUUUGGAGCUUAGUUACUCUGUGUAAAAAUUCCUGGUAAAUUAUUAGCUCUUGUUUCAUCUUGGACAGUAAAUAUUUGAACACUCAUAAUUCCCUCAUCAAGGGCUUUUCUAGCUCUGUUUAUGUCACCAAGUGGAAAUGCCUUUGGCCCACUGAAGAUGUAUUUAGCCCUUUCAAGAUCCUGACAACCAACGGUUCCAAAACAAGACAUAAUUUUACUCUUGCAUCGAGGAUACAACUUCUGAAAAAGAUGACACAGAGACCAGCUAGUCCUUUGAAGGGGAAAAAUGAUCUGUAGUAUCCUAUAAUCACAGUGUGGAAAAUUGAGAUAUGCUUCCAGAAAAUUAGUCAUGUUCUUGUGAAACUGGGAUAAUUCUUAUUUCUUUCACCCCUGGACACAUGCCAGUAAUCUAAAGAUGAGUGAAGAAUAUCCCUUGUCCCCACUGCAUUCCUCAGCCAUGAAACAUUGAUGUAACAAAAACAUAGCAGUAAUAGUAAGAAAGAGCACAGAUGUAAUAUGUAGUAAUAAUAAUCAUAAUAAAGAGCAUAGAUAUAAUAUGUAGUAAUAGUAAUAAAGAGCACAGACGUAAUAUGUAGUAACAGUAAUAAAGAGCACAGAUGUAAUAUGUAGUAAUAGUAAUAAAGAGCACAGAUGUAAUAUGCAGUAAUAGUAAUAAAGAGCACAGAUGUAAUAUGUAGUAAUAGUAAUAAAGAGCACAGAUGUAAUAUGUAGUAAUAGUAAUAAAGAGCACAGAUGUAAUAUGUAGUAACAGUAAUCAUAAUAAAGAGCAUAGAUGUAAUUUGUAGUAAUAGUAAUAAAGAGCACAGAUGUAAUAUGUAGUAGUAGUAAUAAAAAACACAGAUGUAAUAUGUAGUAAUAGUAAUAAAGAGCAUGAACAACAUAGCAUUGUUUCAAUCAAUGAGAGACCACAUACACAGUGAUGGACCUCUAAGAUUGUAUUGGAACUGGAAAAUUCUUGCAGCCUAGUGACAUUAAUAUCACAGCACAAUGCAUCACACAUGUUUAUGACCAUACUUGUGUGAACAAAACCAUCACUCUGGCCAGGCACAGGUGGCACACGCCUUUAAUCCCAGCACUCGGGAGGCAGAGCCAGGCAGAUCUCUGUGAGUUCAAGGUCAGCCUGGCCUACAGAGUGAGAUCCAAGACAGGCACCAAAACUAUACAGAGAAACCCUGUCUCCAAAAACAACAAAACAACAAAAAACAAAAAAAACACCACUCUGGCAGUUCGGCAAAUGCACACAAUGAAUACUGUACACAUACACGAUACUUGAUAACGGUAAUGCCCGUCAUUUCAGGACAGUCAUGGCAGGAACUCACACAGCUAGCCGCAUCACAUCCACGGUGGGAAGCAGACCGAAUCUCAUCCAUCCAUGCUGCCCACCUUCUUGUGCUCAGCUUCCUUCUUUCACUCCUGUGCAGUUCAGGGCCAAAGCCCACACAAUGGCACCACUUGUGUUCAGAGUGGAUUUUCCCACCUCUGUUAGCAAUCAAGAAAAUCCCCCACAGACAUGCCCAUAGGCCAUCCUCAUCUAGAUAAUUCCUCAUUCAGACUCUCUUCCGGGGUGAUUCUAGGUUAUGUCAAGCAGACAGUUAAAAUUGAGCAGCACAAUUUCUUUUAUUGAGAAGGGGAAAAAAAUAAAAGCGUACUGUAAACACGCUGUGUGGCACUCCAGCAGACCCUUUCAUCCUGUUUUAUGUGUACGGUGUGUGUUGAUAGCAUCAUUCUCUGGUGCUUAUUGAAUCGCAUGUUUUGUUCAUCAUGGACCCUAAAUAUAAAAAUCCACUGCUAAUGUUGCUAGCAAGAGGUCACAUGGAGUAAUUGACCUGGAAAUGAAAUUUAAAGUGAUUAAGGGCUAUGAAGGUGGAAAAUCAAUGAUGGUUAUUGCUCUCCAGUCAAGCAUGCCCUGGUUCACAGCUACAAUCUUGAAAAAUGUGAACAAAGGGAUCGAAGCUAUUUAAGAAUCUGAUUUGUGGAAGGCAAUGGAGACUGGAAGCUGGGCAUGGUAAUCCCAGCACUUGGGAGACAGAAACAAGAAGAUCGAUGUUUUGGUCAUCCUUGGCUACAUGAGGAGUUCAAGGCCAACCUGGACUCUGCAAAACCCUAUUUCCCAAAACUGAAAACUACCUAGAAACUCUAUACUAAACUACUAAAAACUCUAUAAAAUUUGGAAAACCUCCAAAGGCUUGGAUUGAAGGCCAGACAGAACUGCAGCUCUCUCAGAAGAAAGACCAUCAGGGCCGUUUGCUAUGUUGAAACUGGGCCCACCCACGUGUUGAGGUUCCAGGUUGGUGCGAGCUAGUCAAGGAGUGGUAUUUGUUAAUUUGAUGUUGGAAUGAACAGUGAGUCUCCCGGGGCUGAUGACUCUUGGACACUCUGGGCAAGCUGAUUGUAGAAGGGAACUACUUGUCAGAGCAAGAUCUUCAGUAUGGAUGAUGCCUCUUUGUUCUGGAAAUGGAGGCCUCGAACAGCUCCGUCUACAUGGAGGUAGAGUUGGUGGCCUCUUCAAGGCUUUAAGGCAAGUUAAGAGUCUUCCUUAAGAGCAGUGUUGCUGUAAGUUGCAAAUCAAGGUCCUUUGUGACCUGGCACGGUGAGGAUACCAGGACCUUCUAGCGUGACCUUCCACUGUGUCAAUACACACACCACUGGUGACCUUUAGGAACAGAAAGAGGUCAAAUGCAAUCCAUCUCCUCUUCCAGGUGCCCCACCAAAUCACUAAGCCAGAAAAACAAGACCAUUUGGAGAACACAGUUUUUGAUAUUUUGCUUGUGUAGAUGUGUGUACACAAGUUGACUCCAUGAUGUCCCCACAAGGGGGUUAACUGCCUGAUGAUGCAUUUCAAAUUCAGCAGCAUGUGACUAUACUCUUGCUCCAGGCACUUAUUCCAAGCACUUUGCAUCUAUCCACACCUGUGAGGUGGGGACUCUUAGUCUCAUUUUACAGGUGAGCAAACUGAGUCACAGAGGGUUGAAGUCGUGGCCAAUCAACGUCAGAACUCAGAGAGUCCAGCUACAAACGCUCACGAUCGCGGCGGUAUCUUUGCUUUGAAGUUUGCCAGCAAGUCUAAAGGCUAGUUUAGAAGUUCCCAGAGGCAAGCUUGAGCUUGCUUUCAGGGGCUUGGGAGGCACAACUUUCAGUCAUCCACACUGUGCUAGCUUGGUUCCCAGCAACUGCACACCCCUGAGAUCUUUAUAACUGAUGUGUUCACUUGAAUCGGUCACUCUGAAUUCUCACCAGCAUGUUGGCCCCAAAUGUCCACAUGACACCAGGCUAGGCUCGCGGCUAUGCGAAGUCCCGAGCUAGAGCUACCUUUGUUUCUUCCCUUCCCACCCAUCUGCAGCAGUUGUCCAGUCUUCCGACUUACUGUUUCAUAGUGCUGCUUUGGGCUCAGUAAGUCUCACAGAUAUGAAGCCUGGCUCGUUUGCCAGGGCUUGUUUGCAAAGGCCAGUGCUGUUUUUAGUACAGUGCCCUGCUCAGAAACUCCCCAGGGAUCAGAGGAGAGGCGUGUGCAUGGAAAUCUUUCUCCACACAUCACCAGUCUGAGGCAUAAUUUGUAAGCACGCACACACAAUGCAUCCAACGGUCACAGGUUUCCGCCCCUACUUCUGGAAUAUCGGAACUGAGAAAAACAUUCAGAGCCUGAGCUGGGCUCUCGCCGCUGAAGCAGAAAUUUCAGGCCAUUCUCUAGGUCUUCCUUAAUCCACUUUCUGCCCAGUGAAUAUCCCAAGAAGAACUGGACAAAGAUAAAUCAUUUCGCCUUGGAAACUUAUCAGGCUGGGGGGAAACAAAAAGAGCAGCCGCCUUCCAGAACUAGAAAAUCACGUUAGCCUGAGGUACUGGGUUUGUUUAUUUCCUUUAUCUCAGGGAUAAAUUUCAUUGUGAAGGCUGGGUCUGACUGAAUGGUCCAAGAAGUCCUGAACGUGAAGAAAGUGCCAGAAAUAAUAAAGAAAUGUGUUUGCUAUUGCAGUAGUCCAAACUGGGUUUCAGAAGGGAUUAUAUUUGGUUUUUAUUUGCAGGGAGAGAGAAAGUGUGAAUCAUAUAGGUUUUAAAUAAUGAUUGUGCAACCUCAGCUCUUUCUCAGGGCAUGCAGAAUUCUUUGCCAACUUCAGAAAGCCCAGAGAGUAAUUGAUUUAACAAGACUGAAGCAAUAUUGCUUUUUCUGCAACUUACGGUGUAAACAAAUAUUUCCUCUUAAAACACUUCUGAUAUUUGAUUUAAUAACAUCCAUCGAAUUGCAUGAAAACAGA